RNAcentral lists this long non-coding RNA (1179 nucleotides) under Homo sapiens (human). Its description in RNAcentral is "testis expressed 41". The record is from RNAcentral. Lineage: Eukaryota; Metazoa; Chordata; Mammalia; Primates; Hominidae.
AGGAAGACCCUGGCCUCCAUCUUGAAAACGGAAAAUAAAAACAGCAGACCUAUGAAGGUCGAAGGGGAAGAAAAGCUGUAUCGAUUGUUGAGAUCUGGCGACUUGUUUAAAUUUCAUCAGCCUCACUUCUAUGAACUCUCAGAGCUGAUUACCAACUCCUACCACUGUUAACCCUCAUCCAGGAACAAGCUUAUGUCUUUAACAUUCUGAGUGGGCUUCAGCAUCCUUGCAUAUGUUCAAUUCUUAAAAACCUGUUGAAAUAAAAGAUCAGGAGACAUAGGAAGGAUGCCAGAAGAGAGCGUGGCCUCACGUGUACCAGCUCUCUGCUCUCCUUUGCCUUGGGACGUUCCAUCCCUGGAAGUUUCCCUGCCCACAUCUUUGUAGAGAGUCCAUUCUCCAAGCUUCAGUGUGUCAUCUGUGAGGACCGUGACCCACCUGGUACAUCGCCUCAGGGCAUUCAUUUCAGGCUCCUUCUAAAUGGCCAAGGUAAACCUCAGGUUCUCCUCCUGCCUUUUGCUAAGUAUAUGUCUUGAUGACAAGCCUUCUGCUGAUGAGCUGUGUUUCUGGACCGAUCAUGGUAGAAGUCAAUUAACGUGUCCCUCACUUGGGGUUUCUCAAGGGUAUGUUACCACAAAGACUCUCAUACACCCUUUUUUCUGAUCUCCCUUUCCCAUUCUACACUUGUGUGCUGAAUCUGUUUAGCAUUAUAGUUAGUACACUUACACGUCCACUAAAAAGUGGAAAUUAAUUUAAUUACCAAUGAAGUAACAAGAAUUUAGUUUGGCAAUGGAUUUCUUCUAUAAUCCAAAGCCAAGUUACCUUUCCACUCAUGGUUCUAAAGAUUACUCAACUGUGUAAAUCAUCUGUGCCACAUGGAAUAACUCAAAGUAAGUUCUUUCACCCCCUACUCAUUCUAAGUACACCAAAUAAAACUCUGCCUCUUUUGGAGAGUUCAUACACUGUUCAGAGAAGGCUGUGAGGUAUUUAUGAUAUCUAAUCCAGAAGGAACUCAAGUGAUGUUUGUUUUAGAAAUAGAAAGCAAAGAAUGAUUAUGCUGCAAAUAUUAUCAUGAAGACAUUUAUAAAUAUAUUACAAAUGCAUGUUUCCCGCCAAAUAAUUGACAAAACACUAUUACUUGCCUUAAAAAUAAUGCACAAUUAAUGAAUGCAAGAAAUUAAA